GAUGAACGCUGGCGGCGUGCCUAAUACAUGCAAGUCGAGCGAACGGACGAGAAGCUUGCUUCUCUGAUGUUAGCGGCGGACGGGUGAGUAACACGUGGAUAACCUACCUAUAAGACUGGGAUAACUUCGGGAAACCGGAGCUAAUACCGGAUAAUAUUUUGAACCGCAUGGUUCAAAAGUGAAAGACGGUCUUGCUGUCACUUAUAGAUGGAUCCGCGCUGCAUUAGCUAGUUGGUAAGGUAACGGCUUACCAAGGCAACGAAGCAUAGCCGACCUGAGAGGGUGAUCGGCCACACUGGAACUGAGACACGGUCCAGACUCCUACGGGAGGCAGCAGUAGGGAAUCUUCCGCAAUGGGCGAAAGCCUGACGUAGCAACGCCGCGUGAGUGAUGAAGGUCUUCGGAUCGUAAAACUCUGUUAUUAGGGAAGAACAUAUGUGUAAGUAACUGUGCACAUCUUGACGGUACCUAAUCAGAAAGCCACGGCUAACUACGUG
This 497-nucleotide ribosomal RNA is filed under the name uncultured bacterium. RNAcentral describes it as "partial 16S ribosomal RNA". It matches the Rfam family "Bacterial small subunit ribosomal RNA", at positions 28 to 507 of the family's 1533-position model. The record is from RNAcentral.